AUUGAACGCUGGCGGCAUGCUUUACACAUGCAAGUCGAACGGCAGCGCGGGCUUCGGCCUGGCGGCGAGUGGCGAACGGGUGAGUAAUGCAUCGGAACGUGCCCAGUAGUGGGGGAUAGCCCGGCGAAAGCCGGAUUAAUACCGCAUACGACCUGAGGGCGAAAGCGGGGGACCGAAAGGCCUCGCGCUAUUGGAGCGGCCGAUGUCGGAUUAGCUAGUUGGUGGGGUAAAGGCUUACCAAGGCGACGAUCCGUAGCUGGUCUGAGAGGACGACCAGCCACACUGGGACUGAGACACGGCCCAGACUCCUACGGGAGGCAGCAGUGGGGAAUUUUGGACAAUGGGGGCAAUCCUGAUCCAGCCAUGCCGCGUGCGGGAAGAAGGCCUUCGGGUUGUAAACCGCUUUUGUUCGGGAAGAAAUCCUCUGGGCUAAUACCCCGGGGGGAUGACGGUACCGGAAGAAUAAGCACCGGCUAACUACGUG
This 484-nucleotide ribosomal RNA is filed under the name uncultured bacterium. RNAcentral describes it as "partial 16S ribosomal RNA". It matches the Rfam family "Bacterial small subunit ribosomal RNA", at positions 28 to 507 of the family's 1533-position model. The record is from RNAcentral.